RNAcentral lists this long non-coding RNA (3972 nucleotides) under Chlamydomonas reinhardtii. Its description in RNAcentral is "long non-coding RNA (CREI_LNC000518)". Lineage: Eukaryota; Viridiplantae; Chlorophyta; Chlorophyceae; Chlamydomonadales; Chlamydomonadaceae. The record is from RNAcentral.
ACCGCACGCGCGGGUACACACAGGAAACAAACGACGAGGUGCGCGGCGACUGCUCUACGUCCGGGCUGCGGCGGCGGCGGCUGCUGCGGGCGGCGGCGGCAGGGUGACCUCGACGUCGGCGCUGAGGCCGAACCAGCCGCCGUCGUAGGUGGCUGUGUGUGCGGACGUGAGCGCCACCUGGCUGCUGUCGGGCGUGCGCACCAGCAGCUCAAACACCUGGCGCAGGGAGGCCAGCGGGCCGUAGUUCUGGGGGGGGGGGGAGAGGGAGGGGACAGAUGAGGAAGGAAGGGCGUGGAGGGGGUCAUACGAAGGGGGUUACACCAACCCAGGAAUGCAGUGCGAGGCUGCCGCCAGGUGUAGUCGGAGUAGAGGAGGCCGAGCGGGGGAGGGGCCAGUCAGUCCCACACAUAAAAUACCGUACAGCCGCCAGGAAAGGAAAGGCGUCCCCCCUCCCCCGCCCGCACAUGCGCGAUGACAUCCAGGCCCGGCCCCCACCGCGACACCACCCGCUCGGAUCCAUCCCACCCUCUCCGCCCUCUUUACCCACCCCACCCUCCACGCGCCCCCAGCUCCACGCCAGCUUCCAGACGUCACGCACCUCCCCCCUACCACCCAAUGCCCCCCACACACACCUGUAUGAGCCACGUGACCGUGUUGUCCCACUGCUCGGCCGGCACCGACAGCCGACUGGCCUCCACUGCGUGAUGCACCAACUUCUCACCUGCGCCUGGCCCCGUGCUUUCGGGGGUGUGGACCCUCGUCGUUACGUUUCGGAGUUCCAGCGGGCCGGGCCCUGGCCGACUAAGCCCAUGGCCUGGCCGCUACUGCGCAGCCUCCUGGUAGCCCGCGCCCCAGGAGGCUGCGCCCCAGGAGGCUGCGCAGUAGGGGCCAGGCCAUGGGCCAAACGGCCAGGAUGACAGUCAUGAUUGCGGGCCCGGUUGCUGAAACAGUCCGGCCUGGCCUCCGGAACGUAACGAAGAUGGUCCCAACCGCCGAAAGCACGGGGCCCACGUAGUCCGCGUAGUCGGCGUAUUCCGUCAGGUGAGGGAUAGUCCUUGCUAAGCCUGCUUUUCAUGAGCAGAAGGCUCUGACGCCAAGCUGCGCGAAAUGCGUUUGAAGAGGGCGCGCCCCAGCCACACCAGGUCCGUGACGAGGUCUGCGCGCACGCAGACUGCUCUUACCAUGCCCUAUUAUCCCCAAUUUGCGCAAGGAUUCGGGCACUCACUUGGCUCCACCCUCAGCUCCUCGAUUCGAGCCUCGAGGGCCUCGAGGGCCGCGGCGUUGGCCGUGGCAUGGGCCGCGAUCUGCUCUUCGAGCCGGUCAAUCCGCUGCUGCAAGUCCACCUGGUCAAUCUGCUGAUGCAUACUGUCCAACUGAGGUUGCGGCGGCUGGGCCAUGAUACCGGCGAGCUGAUGCAAGUUGGCGUUGGUAAGUAAAGGCUAUAGGUGAGCGAUGCGAUGCGAACUUGUAGGUGCGAUACCCCUGCUCUGGCAUCGGUAGUGCGCGGCGCGGGGGCUGGAAUGAAUGAAUACGCGCCCCGCACCUGCCCUGGACCGGUGGACCGUCAAUCUGCGUGGCCUCUGGGCCACAUUCGUCGCCACAUUCCUGCCGCACCAAUUUCAUCCGUCUUCAUCCAAACCUACGUACGUACUUCAGGGCGGCGUAUCUGUGUUUGUGUUGUUGUUGGUUACAAGGUGGUAUCUAGCCCCGCCGUUGCAGACGCGCUGCCCUACCUAGGGCCUGCAGCACUGCAUUCUCACCGGCACACCGCCAGCGCUGCCCCUACUUUGGGGCUGAGCCCCCUGGGCGAAGCGAUCCAAGGGGAGCCGAAGCGCCUUAGGUUUGCCCCUGUCCAUGCGCGGCUGCCUGCCAGCCUGCCUGCGUGUGUGCGUGUCUGCCCGAUGCGUGCGUCCCCCACCUCGAGCUGCCACACUCCCCCACCCAAAGGCACACGGCACUGGCAGACACAGUAAUCCUUCCUUCAGUUCUACGAGCAAGGACGGCUCCACCUCACAACAGCUCCAGCCAGGUGCCCUCCGCGUUGCCCACGCCACGGUACCGGUCGAACCCCUGCACGGUACUGUGGCAAGGGAAGGCACGCGUGGAUGGUGUUGAGAUCUAGGACAAGCAAGAGCAGAGGGGAUGAAAGACGAGUUCCCGUUGUGAUGACUGAAAUUCCGAAAUCCCACAAGGCUAGGCAGGGCACGCGUGGAUGGCGUGUGGAAUGUGCACACCGCGACCAUGCAUCCAUGCCUAAACUGAUUGGGGCCCAAGACCCGUUCUGCAGCGGGCCGAUGCGUGUGUGUGCCUGCGUUUGAUCGUGCGCCUGCAGUGGGUUUUCGUGUCGGCAACGGUUUGGGGUGUGGGUGUUGGUCCUGUGUCUCGUGUCUUUGGAUCCCCUGUCUUUGGUCUGCCCUUGCUUUGCCCCGGAAGGAUGCCCUUGGGUUCCGUGCUUGGUGCGGUUGUCGCUGGCGUUCUGCCUGCUCGUGUUGCAGGGUGUGUGCAAGUGCGGUGCUGUGCCUUUCCCAUUCCUUCUCCUUGCAGCCACCAAAGAAAGCACGCCCCAGCGCUGGUGGCCCGAGUCCCAACGCCUGUGCCUCGCUCCCCAAGUGUGAAGCAAUGUGUUCGUGGUGGGGGUUCUAAAUACCCAAACCAAACCAACACCCACGAAAGCGAGGCAGAGGCGUUAGUUGCAAGCGAUAAUACUUAUUGGAUGUGGCCGAGGCGUCAAUGACGAGUGGAGCAGCAGGGCGAGCGGCGCCGGCGAUAACUGGGGGGAUGAGGCGAAGGGCCGAAGGGGUCUCCGGGGAGAGGCCGACGCCAGGACCUCGGUUUAGGGUUAAAGUUUGGGGAUGCCGCAUAAGCGUAGAGUCCGGCGCAAAGCAUUUGCGCGAAGGCAAUCGCGAAUAGUCAAGUCCAGUGGGGAACUCCAGUGACCUCCACAGUUCCAGUCAGGUGAUCCCCGUGUUCCGGGUUCCUACGUUUCCCCGUUGUUUAACCCCCGUCACCCGGCACCCUAACCCGCGGUGCUGGCUUGCCAGGAGGGCCUCGACAGUCCUAUGCAUGGACGGAGCCGAACAGUGCGAGGCUGUGGCUUGCGGCGGCGGCGGGCGCUGCGUGUGUGAAAGCAGAUAUUCGCAGCUUGGGUAGCUUAGCGCAGGCCCUGAAUACCGUAGCGGUUCUGGUGAAGACACGACGACAGGUGGAACCGUGCAAGAGACCUGACAUCCAAUUUACAACCGUGCGACUUUUGCGGUGUCGCCACAGCAGACUGCAUCCGCCCCCACCCCUACCACUGCGCCCAUCACCGCCACGGCGCCACCGGCUCAUAUCCACACAGCGGCCUACACCACCACACGGCCAUCGCGUGACAGCCUCAACCAAGUAACCAACAGAGUCCGCAUAGGCGACACCUUUACCCGGCUUUUCACCAGCCUACACGGGUCCGCUACAUACACGGGGACCCACUUGAAACACCCGACGCCGAACAACGGCCGCACACCCUGCGAUGCGCCCAAAUGACCACACGCGCGGGCGCACACAGGAGACACACCACGAGACUCUGAGGGUGGCGACUGCUCUACGUCCGGGCUGCGGCGGCGACGGCGGCUGCGGGUGGCGGCGGCAGGGUGACCUCGACGUCGGCGCUGAGGCCGAACCAGCCGCCGUCGUAGGUGGCUGUGUGUGCGGACGUGAGCGCCACCUGGCUGCUGUCGGGCGUGCGCACCAGCAGCUCAAACACCUGGCGCAGGGAGGCCAGCGGGCCGUAGUUCUGGGGAGGGGGGAGAGGGAGGGGACAGAUGAGGAAGGAAGGGCGGGGGGGGGGGUUACAUUCAUGAUUAAUUAAGGAAGUCGUAGGGGGGGGUCAUACGAAGGGGGUCACACCUCUCUACCCACCCCACCCUCCACGCGCCCCCACCUCCACGCCAGCUUCCAGACCUCACGCCCCUCCCCCCUACCACCCAAUGCCCC